AUUGAACGCUGGCGGCAUGCUUCACACAUGCAAGUCGAACGGUAACAGGGAGCUUGCUCCGCUGACGAGUGGCGAACGGGUGAGUAAUGCAUCGGAACGUACCCAGUCGUGGGGGAUAACGUAGCGAAAGUUACGCUAAUACCGCAUACGUCCUGAGGGAGAAAGCGGGGGGACCGUAAGGCCUCGCGCGAUUGGAGCGGCCGAUGUCGGAUUAGCUAGUUGGUAGGGUAAAGGCCUACCAAGGCGACGAUCUGUAGCGGGUCUGAGAGGAUGAUCCGCCACACUGGAACUGAGACACGGUCCAGACUCCUACGGGAGGCAGCAGUGGGGAAUUUUGGACAAUGGGGGCAACCCUGAUCCAGCCAUGCCGCGUGAGUGAAGAAGGCCUC
RNAcentral lists this ribosomal RNA (389 nucleotides) under uncultured bacterium. Its description in RNAcentral is "bacterial SSU rRNA". It matches the Rfam family "Bacterial small subunit ribosomal RNA", at positions 30 to 418 of the family's 1533-position model. The record is from RNAcentral.